CAAGCGAAAGCGAGGGCUAUCCGCGUUGCUCCCUUGCGCUGAACCAUGGGGUCGACCUUCCUGGGGUACUCAGAUGAGGAUCAUGGGCUCGCGUCGGUGUGGGGUCGCCUCAUCUUUCUCUCGUGCAUUACAACAGGGAUCUUUUACGUCUUAUUCGGUCUCUUUGCGUGCCGCAGGCUCAUACUGCGGGACAUUCGGUGGCUCCUCAUGGCGAUCCUCUACUUUUCCAUGGGGGUGUGCCACGCCUUCUUCACCCUGACACUACUCUGCUUCGCCAUUGCUUGCGUUCUCCACAGCUUUGAGAAACCGAUGCAGAGCGGGGAAAUGAUCAUGUACUCCGGUAUCAUGACCAUCAUCACCAUGUACUUUGCUUGCGGGCGAAAAACCAUCCUUUACUCCCUUUGACCUCGCGUGGGCUACCAAACCUCCACACGCACACGCUACAUUGCACGACUGCAGUGCUGCGUGGGCACCUGUACCCUGCAGAGAAAAGAAUUGCUGCGAAGAGUCAGCCGAUAUAAAAGCAAAUCGCUGUGAUCUCAAUGGCCACGCACCCCUCCUCCUGUGCUGUUCGCGCCUCGCACGUUGCUCGUCAACUUGCCGAAAAGCACCAGAGGUAGAAGCAUCUGCGAAGGGACGUUAGAGAGCGCGAUGAGCCAGUGAACUCACAAGUAUCUCUGCUCGUACGCACUACUCUGCAUCUUAGGCGUGCGAGCGGUGCGGCGCGCAGCAGGGCCUUGGGCUCUCUAGAUCCUCUUCCUACAUGCCAACGCGCUUAAUUAACUGUCAGGCGUUCCCACCGGUUCGUUCCUCUCCCGUAUCCUCUUUCCUCCUCUCCACGGUGAUUCUCUCUCUCUCCUUCUCGUGCGUGUGUGUGUGUGUGUGUGUGUGUUUUUGCGUCCUUGCCCAAUCACUCUCCGACUGGGUGGGGGCCUACGGGCUUACACAG
This 949-nucleotide unclassified non-coding RNA is filed under the name Leishmania donovani. RNAcentral describes it as "gene:LdHU3.34.6580(CDS-product:hypothetical_prote in_conserved)". Lineage: Eukaryota; Euglenozoa; Kinetoplastea; Trypanosomatida; Trypanosomatidae. The record is from RNAcentral.